AAAAAUAUAUACCUCUAAGAUCUUAUUUUUUCCUUUAAAAAGUCACUCUAAUAAAAUAUUGAAAACAUGAAAAGAAAUAGAUUUUCCUACCACAAUUUUUAUCUUGACCAAUUUGGCUCCCACAUAUUUCCGUGUUCAACUGAAUCAAUUUCACACUUACUCACCUCCCUGUCUCUGUGAUGUGGUUUAUUCAUUGGUUUGAUAUUGCCAUAGCAACUCCGCAGCAUGGAAACAUGUUCGCCAAGCAAUGCUGCUCACCUCCCAGUGCACGGUGAAUAGCUGUCUGCUACAUACAGCGCUGGCAACCGUUUCACAACUGCGCUUACUCACGGCGGAAACAUCCUUAUGUUUCAGCAGGGUUGUACCACAGCUUGACCCAAUGGGGCUUUAUAAAAGCAGUUUACUUGCCCUCAGACAGCGUUGGACAAGUCCCAUAAAACACAGAGGCUCUGCCCACACAAAAGCAGAAUGGAGAUCAGUAAUAGCACAGCACCAAACACGUCUCUGAAUGCGGUAAGAGACCAAGACACCUCCUGCCUACCUAACAACAUCACAACUGUUUCAGACUACACUGUGCUUAAGCUCAAAGGUUAAAUGCUGUUGUUUGCCUUAAGCUAAGUGCAAAACACAUCUGUGAGACAGUAUGAGCUUCACAGCAGAAAUUCAAGUCACUGCCAGGUUGCUAUAACACAGGAAGGUUUGUGAUCUGUGAUGUACCAGGAAAACAUCUCUGCAUGGACUAGCAACAAAGGGAUCUAAUUUCUUUCCCCAGCAGAGCUGAAACCAGCAUUUUUGUCCAGGAUUUCUUUAGAUUGUAUCAAGGAAAGGAUGUAGAGCAGAGGCAAGAUAGAGUAUUAACUCUCCUAAAAUAUAUUUUAUCAUCUCUUUGACAAAUAUGGAGCUCUAAAGAGGAGUUAAAAGAAAAAUUAUAUUCUACCUCAUCUUAGAGCCUAUUUCAUCUGAGUACACACUCUAUUUAGUGACCUUUGCUGGAACUCUUACAGCAAGUACGCUGGUAAAGGCAUUUAAGCAAUAUUAAACAUUAGCAACCGGUCUGGUGGCUGCUAUGCCCUUCAUCCUUUCAGUAAAGAAGAAGAUUCUUCACACCCCAAUGCAGUUAUCUGCUUUCAUCUAAAGGACUUCAAGAAGGGGUCAGAUGGGAGCUAUCUGUGCACACAGGUCGUGGACACACAGCCAAGAACGGGGCAUGCACACAGCAAGAUACUCCACACCGUUCCCAUUGGUACAUUAUACACACCCUUCAGAAAAAUAAAACAAGGAAUAGUACAGAAAUAGUACA
Molecule: long non-coding RNA, 1300 nt
Filed under: Anas platyrhynchos platyrhynchos (common mallard)
Lineage: Eukaryota; Metazoa; Chordata; Aves; Anseriformes; Anatidae
Description: lncRNA (ENSAPLG00000024213.1)
Source: RNAcentral